This 364-nucleotide unclassified non-coding RNA is filed under the name uncultured bacterium. RNAcentral's name for it is "contains 16S-23S intergenic spacer region". The record is from RNAcentral.
UCCGAGUUGUCCCCGGCAGUCCCCUUAGAGUCCCCGGCAUUACCCGCUGGCAACUAAGGGCAGGGGUUGCGCUCGUUGCGGCACUUAAGCCAACACCUCACGGCACGAGCUGACGACAGCCAUGCAGCACCUGUGCUGGCCCCUUACGGACACGGGUUUCACCCUGCAUGUCAAACCCAGGUAAGGUUCUUCGCGUCGCAUCGAAUUAAGCCGCAUGCUCCACCGCUUGUGCGGGCCCCCGUCAAUCCCUUUGAGUUUUAAUCUUGCGACCGUACUCCCCAGGCGGGAUGCUUAAAGCGUUAGCUGCGCCACUGACGAGCAAGCUCGCCAACGGCUAGUAUCCAUCGUUUACGGCGUGGACUAC